Molecule: long non-coding RNA, 183 nt
Organism: Clarias gariepinus (North African catfish)
Lineage: Eukaryota; Metazoa; Chordata; Actinopteri; Siluriformes; Clariidae
Exons: 3
Source: RefSeq, a predicted model, not a curated record
ACUGUGUGUGUCUCUGUGACCCUGGUGCUGAUGGCAGCAUCUCUAUUCAUCUACAUGUUAAAAAAAUACAAGACACAAGAUUCUACCUUAACAAGUCAGAGAACUGAAACAAAUAGCAUGACUGCUGAUUUGGAAAACAAUCACCCUCAGAGUCAGAACAUCAGAAUGCAUAUGGUCUACCAA